This 76-nucleotide transfer RNA is filed under the name Elusimicrobia bacterium ADurb.Bin231. RNAcentral describes it as "tRNA-Arg". It matches the Rfam family "tRNA". Rfam says of the family: Transfer RNA (tRNA) molecules are approximately 80 nucleotides in length. The record is from RNAcentral. Lineage: Bacteria; Pseudomonadati; Elusimicrobiota.
UGCCCCUGUAGCUCAGAUGGAUAGAGCAUCGGUUUCCUAAACCGGUUGUCGGGCGUUCGACUCGCCCCAGGGGUAU